GGGAGCUCUCCCAUAUGGUCGACCUGCAGGCGGCCGCGAAUUCACUAGUGAUUCGUAUUACCGCGGCUGCUGGCACAGAGUUAGCCGGUGCUUAUUCUGUCGGUAACGUCAAGACAGCAACGUAUUAGGUUACUGCCCUUCCUCCCAACUUAAAGUGCUUUACAAUCCGAAGACCUUCUUCACACACGCGGCAUGGCUGGAUCAGGCUUUCGCCCAUUGUCCAAUAUUCCCCACUGCUGCCUCCCGUAGGAGUCUGGACCGUGUCUCAGUUCCAGUGUGACUGAUCAUCCUCUCAGACCAGUUACGGAUCGUCGCCUUGGUGAGCCAUUACCUCACCAACUAGCUAAUCCGACCUAGGCUCAUCUGAUAGCGCAAGGCCCGAAGGUCCCCUGCUUUCUCCCGUAGGACGUAUGCGGUAUUAGCGUCCGUUUCCGAGCGUUAUCCCCCACUACCAGGCAGAUUCCUAGGCAUUACUCACCCGUCCGCCGCUCUCAAGAGAAGCAAGCUUCUCUCUACCGCUCGACUUGCAUGUGUUAGGCCUGCCGCCAGCGUUCAAUCUGAGCCAUGAUCAAACUCUAAUCGAAUUCCCGCGGCCGCCAUGGCGGCCGGGAGCAUGCGAC
RNAcentral lists this ribosomal RNA (620 nucleotides) under uncultured Gammaproteobacteria bacterium. RNAcentral's name for it is "partial 16S ribosomal RNA". Lineage: Bacteria; Pseudomonadati; Pseudomonadota; Gammaproteobacteria. The record is from RNAcentral.